Armigeres subalbatus is the source of this 296-nucleotide long non-coding RNA. RefSeq lists it as uncharacterized. The record is from RefSeq and is a predicted model, not a curated record. The transcript has 3 exons. Lineage: Eukaryota; Metazoa; Arthropoda; Insecta; Diptera; Culicidae.
GGAAGAGGCAGCAGUGAUUCCGAAGUUGUCCUCGCGCCGUGGUUUGAAUAUUGAGAUCGUAGAUAGCCGUAAAGUAUAUUUCGUGCAGUGAGAAGGCGUGCAAACACUGCCGAACAAGAAAGGUUCGUGGCCUAAGCUGCAUGUGCCCGAUCACACCACAUCGGACAACGUCAUCGCUGACCCCACCAUCAGCUUCAGAGGUGUCCUGGGUACGCCCGGAAGAGGGUAUCGUACGCCAAAAGCGUGCCCUAGGCAGGGCGAGAACGAGCGACCGUUCACCGAGUUCAUUCGCUGCG